This 525-nucleotide ribosomal RNA is filed under the name uncultured bacterium. RNAcentral's name for it is "partial 16S ribosomal RNA". The record is from RNAcentral.
GGAGUUAGCCGGUGCUUCUUCUGUGAGUGAUGUCCUUCCUGCCGGCUAUUAACCCGCAGGCCUUCUUCCUCACUGAAAGUGCUUUACAACCCGAAGGCCUUCUUCACACACGCGGCAUGGCUGGAUCAGGGUUGCCCCCAUUGUCCAAUAUUCCCCACUGCUGCCUCCCGUAGGAGUCUGGGCCGUGUCUCAGUCCCAGUGUGGCUGAUCAUCCUCUCAGACCAGCUACGGAUCGUCGCCUUGGUGAGCCGUUACCUCACCAACCAGCUAAUCCGACAUAGGCUCAUCCGAUAGCGCGAGGCCCGAAGGUCCCCCGCUUUCCCCCGUAGGGCGUAUGCGGUAUUAGCCUGGGUUUCCCCAGGUUAUCCCCCACUACCGGGCAGAUUCCUAUGCAUUACUCACCCGUCCGCCGCUCGCCACCAGGGAGCAAGCUCCCCGUGCUGCCGCUCGACUUGCAUGUGUAGCUGCGCCACGCGUCAUCUGAGCAGAGACUACACUCUGACUGAGGCGGCGUCGACGACGCGC